This 343-nucleotide unclassified non-coding RNA is filed under the name soil metagenome. RNAcentral's name for it is "partial contains 5.8S ribosomal RNA, internal transcribed spacer 2, and large subunit ribosomal RNA". The stretch from base 1 to 120 matches the Rfam family "5.8S ribosomal RNA", at positions 35 to 154 of the family's 154-position model. The record is from RNAcentral.
GAUGAAGAACGCAGCGAAAUGCGAUACGUAAUGUGAAUUGCAGAAUUCAGUGAAUCAUCGAGUCUUUGAACGCACAUUGCGCCCUCUGGUAUUCCGGAGGGCAUGCCUGUCCGAGCGUCGUUGCUGCCCUCAAGCACGGCUUGUGUGUUGGGCCCCGUCCUCCUUCCGGGGGACGGGUCCGAAAGGCAGCGGCGGCACCGCGUCCGGUCCUCAAGCGUAUGGGGCUUUGUCACUCGCUUUGUAGGCCUGGCCGGCGCUUGCCGAUCAACCAAACUUUUUAUCAGGUUGACCUCGGAUCAGGUAGGGAUACCCGCUGAACUUAAGCAUAUCAAUAAGCGGAGGA